GUAUUAUACAGCGAAACUGCGAAUGGCUCAUUAAAACAGCUAUAGUUUAUUUGACAAUCAAACUUACAUGGAUAACCGUAGUAAUUCUAGAGCUAAUACAUGCUGUACUGCCAACUUUUUGGAAGGCAGGUAUUUAUUAGAUAUUAACCAAUAUUCCGUAGGUCUAUCGUGGUGAGUCAUAAUAACUUUCGAAUCGCAAAGCCUUUGGCUGCGAUAAGUCAUUCAAGUUUCUGCCCCAUCAGCUUUAGAUGGUAGUGUAUUGGACUACCAUGGCUUUCACGAGUAACGGAGGAUUAGGGUUCGAUUCCGGAGAGGGAGCCUGAGAAACGGCUACCACAUCUAAGGAAGGCAGCAGGCGCGUAAAUUACCCAAUCCUGAUUCAGGGAGGUAGUGACAAGAAAUAACAAGCAGUAGCUUUUUGUUACUGAAUUGAAAUGAGCCGAAUUUACAACUCUUAGUGAGGAUCCAUUGGAGGGCAAGUCUGGUGCCAGCAGCCGCGGUAAUUCCAGCUCCAAUAGCGUAUAUUAAAGUUGUUGCAGUUAAAAAGCUCGUAGUUGGAUUUCUGACAGGGGGCCGAACACCACUGUAGUGAGUGUUUUGGUACCUGUCAUCCUUCUGUUAACCCUAGCGUCAUUCAUUUGUCGUUGGGCGGACCAGAUACUUUACCUUGAGAAAAUUAGAGUGUUUCAGGCAGGCCUAGCCGGAAUACAUUAGCAUGGAAUAAUGGAAUAGGACUAUAGUCUCGUCGUUGGUUACGUGGACUGCAGUAAUGAUUAAUAGGGAUAGUUGGGGGCAUUAGUAUUUAUUAGCUAG
This 813-nucleotide ribosomal RNA is filed under the name uncultured eukaryote. Its description in RNAcentral is "SSU rRNA". It matches the Rfam family "Eukaryotic small subunit ribosomal RNA", at positions 71 to 908 of the family's 1831-position model. The record is from RNAcentral.